GGCUCACGGCGCACGUCAGUGCCAUGCGAAGAUUCACUUGUCGCGCUGAGUUCGUUCGUGUCGUGUUCGCACAGCACAGCAGCGAGUAACAGUAACCAGAAUCGUUAUCAUUUGUGAUAACACACAACACAUCGCGACAAAUUACUAAACUAUUCGAUUAUUGCAUUAAAUACUUGCAAAGAGAAAACGAAAAUCGAAAAAUUAAGGAAAAGGAAACACGCUGCCAAUUGUGCCGUAACACGGGACAUUGAAAAGAAAGAAAGAAAAAAAGAAAAUCCAGCCGCAACGAACUUUAACUACAACUCGACCUAGGCCUAAAUUAUAAAUAUAUAAAAAAAAAAACAAACAAACGAAAA
Molecule: long non-coding RNA, 356 nt
Organism: Drosophila innubila
Lineage: Eukaryota; Metazoa; Arthropoda; Insecta; Diptera; Drosophilidae
Exons: 3
Source: RefSeq, a predicted model, not a curated record